UGCAGGUGGUGGAGGGAAGAGUUGGGGAGGCCGACAAGGAUGGAGUUUCCGUGAGGUGUUCACUCCUCUGGAAACGAAAGACCAAAAGAAAAGGCGACAGCCUCCCUCAGACACUUGCUUAUCUCAAGGUUGAGAAGCAGGCAGGUUGGAGAAGGCUGCCAAAAGCAAAAGUUGCCCAUCUCUCUUUGUCCCCAUCAGUUCUUUUCUCAUGGGGAAACCAGUCGGCUCAAGGUCACUAAAAGCUUGAGGAGAGUGGGGAGCUUACUCCAUUUUCUUUCAGAAGAAAAACUAGAGGAAAAGAAACCAUCUUGUGAAAGAUGAAGUAGAUGAAAGGUCAUCUACCAACUGGAUAAAGAGAGAUCGAUUUGUGAAGAGAAUCAGAAGAGACAGGGAGUUGGAACUUGGGAGUCGUGAACCAUACGCCAGCUUCUAAAGAAGGAAAAUCAAGACUAAGACUUAGACAACUUUAUCGAUACUCUCAAACAGGCAUCAGUACCGCAGUACCUGGAUACCUUUCCGUUGCCUGAGCAGGCAGCAGUGCGGUACCUGAAUACAUUUUGGUGGACCUUAAAUUGGACGUUACUCCUCCAUCUCCUCCACAAGAUUUGGUUUGGCCGACCUUAAUCGUUGUGAACUGUACGUGGACACGUAAGCAUUAUUCUGCUAAAUUAUUUUAACUACCUACAACCAUUAUUAAUCUGAAUUAAUAAACAUCUAUAUUUUGCUAUAA
Callorhinchus milii (elephant shark) is the source of this 730-nucleotide long non-coding RNA. RefSeq lists it as uncharacterized. The record is from RefSeq and is a predicted model, not a curated record. Lineage: Eukaryota; Metazoa; Chordata; Chondrichthyes; Chimaeriformes; Callorhinchidae. The transcript has 2 exons.